AUAUUUUAGGUCUGUGGUUGCAAGUCCAAGCCAGUCGCAGGCAAAGGGACCCACGUAAGGUAAUUAAAAAUAAGAUUACUGAGCAUGGUGCGGCUUAGGGGUAAGACCUGCCAGGUUCUUGUUCAAAUGCAUUUCUAUGGAAAUCAUUGCUUGAGAAAACUGAGAGAGGUAGUAGUGACGGCGAACCCGGAGCGAACCUUCCAGCAGGCGAGUGUGGGGUCAAAGACCAGGUCAGCUAAGAAUAU
This is a regulatory RNA element of Geosporobacter ferrireducens, 245 nucleotides long. It matches the Rfam family "raiA RNA". The record is from Rfam. NCBI's taxonomy places the organism in Bacteria, Bacillati, Bacillota, Clostridia, Peptostreptococcales, Thermotaleaceae.